This 193-nucleotide ribosomal RNA is filed under the name Escherichia coli. Its description in RNAcentral is "partial 16S ribosomal RNA". It matches the Rfam family "Bacterial small subunit ribosomal RNA", at positions 1 to 187 of the family's 1533-position model. Lineage: Bacteria; Pseudomonadati; Pseudomonadota; Gammaproteobacteria; Enterobacterales; Enterobacteriaceae. The record is from RNAcentral.
AAAUUGAAGAGUUUGAUCAUGGCUCAGAUUGAACGCUGGCGGCAGGCCUAACACAUGCAAGUCGAACGGUAACAGGAAGCAGCUUGCUGCUUUGCUGACGAGUGGCGGACGGGUGAGUAAUGUCUGGGAAACUGCCUGAUGGAGGGGGAUAACUACUGGAAACGGUAGCUAAUACCGCAUACCGUCACAAGAC